UCAGUCGAGCGGCGAACGGGUGAGUAACGCGUGGAUAACCUGCCCAGAGGUGGGGGAUAACCCGGGGAAACUCGGGCUAAUACCGCAUGAUACCGAAAGGUCAAAGGGGGCUCGCAAGGGCUCUCGCCAUAGGAGGGGUCCGCGUCCGAUUAGCUAGUUGGUAGGGUAAUGGCCUACCAAGGCGACGAUCGGUAGCCGGCCUGAGAGGGUGAUCGGCCACACUGGAACUGAGACACGGUCCAG
Molecule: ribosomal RNA, 243 nt
Filed under: uncultured bacterium
Lineage: Bacteria
Description: partial 16S ribosomal RNA
Rfam family: Bacterial small subunit ribosomal RNA
Source: RNAcentral